RNAcentral lists this ribosomal RNA (554 nucleotides) under Sasquaperla hoopa. RNAcentral's name for it is "partial 16S ribosomal RNA". It matches the Rfam family "Bacterial large subunit ribosomal RNA", at positions 1796 to 2622 of the family's 2925-position model. Lineage: Eukaryota; Metazoa; Arthropoda; Insecta; Plecoptera; Chloroperlidae. The record is from RNAcentral.
UCGCCUGUUUAUCAAAAACAUGUCCUUAUGAUAAUAAUUUAAGGUCUGACCUGCCCACUGAAUUUAAUUUGAAGGGCCGCGGUAUUUUGACCGUGCAAAGGUAGCAUAAUCAUUAGUCUUUUAAUUGGAGGCUGGAAUGAAUGGUUGGACGAGGCAUUGACUGUCUCAGUAUAAGUGUUUUAGAAUUUAACUUUUAAGUCAAAAGGCUUAAAUUUAUUUAAAGGACGAGAAGACCCUAUAGAGCUUUAUAAUUAAUAAUUAUAAUUUAUUUAGUAGAACUUAUGUUGUAGUUUGUCUAUUUUGUUGGGGUGACAGGAAGAUAAAUAAAACUCUUUUUAAUAUUUGACCAUUGAUUUAUGAAUUGUUGAUCCAUUAUUAGUGAUUAUAAGACUAAGUUACCUUAGGGAUAACAGCGUAAUUUUUUUUGAGAGUUCUUAUCGACAAAAAAGGUUGCGACCUCGAUGUUGGAUUAAGGGUAAUUUUGGGUGUAGAUGUUCAAAGUUUAGGUCUGUUCGACCUUUAGAUCCUUACAUGAUCUGAGUUCAAACCGGAGA